This 407-nucleotide ribosomal RNA is filed under the name uncultured bacterium. RNAcentral's name for it is "partial 16S ribosomal RNA". It matches the Rfam family "Bacterial small subunit ribosomal RNA", at positions 28 to 526 of the family's 1533-position model. The record is from RNAcentral.
GACGAACGCUGGCGGCGUGCCUAAUACAUGCAAGUAGGACGCAGUUGCGAACGGGUGAGUAACGCGUAGGUAAAUACCUGUUAGAGGGGGGUAACUAUUGGAAACGAUAGCUAAUACCGCAUACUAGUAGAUGGACCUGCGUUGUAUUAGGUAGUAGGUAGGGUAAUGGCCUACCUAGGCAAAGAUACAUAGCCGAGUUGAGAGGGUGGUCGGCCACAAUGGGACUUGGGCACGGCCCAGACUCCUACGGGAGGCAGCAGGAGGGAAUCUUUGGGAAUGGGGGGAACCCUGACCGAGCCACGCCGGGUGAGUGAAGAAGGUUGUCGGAUCGGUAAGCUCUGUUGUGAAGGAAGCGGUACUUAACCAGAAAGGGACGGCUAACUACGUGCCAGCAGCCGCGGUAAUUC